GAACUCACGCCACACUGACUUCGCCUCUUCCUCUUCACUUUUCAGUCUCUUCUUCUCUGUUGUCUGUCGCUCGGGCCGGCUCGGCUGCUGAUCUUCUUCUUUCCUUUUUUUUUCCUCUGCUGGUGUCACUCUUCUAAGUCUUCUUGGAGAAUCAGAUCUUGUCUUCAUUUCUUUUUUAAGAUCUGAUGAUUUCUGAAGCAGACGGAGCAAAGUAAGCACCGAAGCAAGCGGAGCAAAGAGACGGAAUAUAUGAAUGACUUAUUUCAACACCUUGAGGAAGAGAACAACUUGGAGUGUAUGCCGGAGGUAGAUCGUUAUUUUUUGGAUGGGUGUGAAGCAACAUCAAAAGAUUUUGACAUCUUACUUUGGUGGAAGGUUAAUGCACCCAAAUAUCCUAUCCUCGCAGAGAUAGCCCGUGAUAUAUUGGCCAUUCCUAUUUCCACAGUUGCAUCCGAGUCUGCAUUCAGCAAUGGAGGACGUAUAUUGGAUCCUUUUAGGAGUUCAUUAUCUCCAAUGACAGUUGAGGCCUUGAUUUGCACUCAAGACUGGUUAAAGGGCAAUCAAGACUUGGAGUACGAGAAGAUUAUUGAAAUCUUUGAUGAGCAUGUUAUUGAUGAUUGAGAGGAGAGCUACAAAAAGCCACAGACCAUGCUUGGAUAUGUUUAAUGUUUAUGAACUUUUGGGUUUGAACUUUUUAAUUCUUAAUAUGUUUAAUGUUUAUGAACUUUUGAUUGCUGGUUUGUUUAAAAAUGGUAGUUGAUCUUUGUAA
Long non-coding RNA from Alnus glutinosa, 769 nucleotides. RefSeq lists it as uncharacterized. The transcript has 4 exons. The record is from RefSeq and is a predicted model, not a curated record. Lineage: Eukaryota; Viridiplantae; Streptophyta; Magnoliopsida; Fagales; Betulaceae.